CCUACGGGAGGCAGCAGUGAGGAAUAUUGGUCAAUGGGCGCGAGCCUGAACCAGCCAAGUAGCGUGAAGGAUGACUGCCCUACGGGUUGUAAACUUCUUUUAUAAAGGAAUAAAGUGAGGCGCGUGUGCCUUUUUGCAUGUACUUUAUGAAUAAGGAUCGGCUAACUCCGUUCCAGCAGCCGCGGUAAGACGGAGGAUCCGAGCGUUAUCCGGAUUUAUUGGGUUUAAAGGGAGCGUAGAUGGGUUGUUAAGUCAGUUGUGAAAGUUUGUGGCUCAACCGUAAAAUUGCAAUUGAUACUGGCAGUCUUGAGUACAGUUGAGGUAGGCGGAAUUCGAGGUGUAGCGGUGAAAUGCUUAGAGAUCACGAAGAACACCGAUUGCGAAGGCAGCUUACUAAACUGCCACUGACAUUGAGGCUCGAAAGUGUGGGGAGCAAACAGGAUUAGAUACCCGAGUAGUC
RNAcentral lists this ribosomal RNA (460 nucleotides) under uncultured bacterium. RNAcentral describes it as "partial 16S ribosomal RNA". It matches the Rfam family "Bacterial small subunit ribosomal RNA", at positions 338 to 795 of the family's 1533-position model. The record is from RNAcentral.